This 325-nucleotide ribosomal RNA is filed under the name uncultured eukaryote. RNAcentral describes it as "partial 18S ribosomal RNA". It matches the Rfam family "Eukaryotic small subunit ribosomal RNA", at positions 1470 to 1796 of the family's 1831-position model. The record is from RNAcentral.
CCCUUAGAUGUUCUGGGCCGCACGCGCGCUACACUGAUGCAUUCAACGAGCCUAUCCUUGACCGACAGGUCCGGGUAAUCUUUGAAUCUGCAUCGUGACGGGGAUAGAUUAUUGCAAUUAUUAAUCUUCAACGAGGAAUGCCUAGUAGGCGCAAGUCAUCAGCUUGCGUCGAUUACGUCCCUGCCCUUUGUACACACCGCCCGUCGCUCCUACCGAUUGGGUGUGCUGGUGAAAUGUUCGGAUCGGCCGUUUGUCGCGGUUUCCGCGUCAUGUGGCUGAGAAGAUCAUUAAACCCUCCCACCUAGAGGAAGGAGAAGUCGUAACA